Molecule: non-coding RNA, 1387 nt
Organism: Cinara cedri
Lineage: Eukaryota; Metazoa; Arthropoda; Insecta; Hemiptera; Aphididae
Source: the annotation of a GenBank genome assembly
GUUCGCCCCAAUCGCGCCGGAUGACGUCAACAUUUGUAUUAUAAUAAUAAUAUAAACACACUCGCGUGUUUUCGGGACGCGGAGCGCACUGUCCCCCUCGCCUCUUUGACAUUUUUUUUUUCCCUCUUUCCCGUUUCGAGUGUCGGUAAAUAUUUUUACACCGUCACGCCUGGGUUUUGAAUUCGAAUCGCUGUACUUUUCGGCCGGACAAAAUACCACGUAUUCGACGUGUUGCCGGUACAGGAGCCGGAGCGGCGCGAGAGCUAGAAAGUAUAUUUUUUUUUUUUUAUUACACUCCGAGUAAAACGAACACAUUUAGAACCCGUCCGCCCUAUACACGGAUACGUUCCAUUAAUAACUUUAAUUUUCUACAGCAAAACCCUUACGCGGCGUCGCAGACUAUACGCGAAGGCUACAAUAUCGUAUUCGUAAUUGUACGCGUAUAACAAUCGAAUAGAAUACACAAAAUCUCUAAACGCUAGUUCAGAAGGAACCCAUAGCUGUUAAUGAUCUAUCAAAAACAACAAUCUGAACGUGCGAGUUGCAUUACCUUGUCACCUUGAAACCUGUAUAGCAACCGCUGUAGUAAAUUGUACAAUACUAUUAUUGAGGAGUGUUCAAAUUCUUACGUACAAAAACGCAUACAUUUGAAAAUUGAUCCUUUUUUCUUUUUUUUUUUCGAUCAGCGUAAACGCGUUACAUACAGAACGACACAGUUUUCUCGAAUCCGAUAUAUGUAUCUCCCUCGUCGUUAAUAUCCUAAAUUCGUCACCGCAUCCACGUAUAAUGCGUGCGUACACAGGAAACCACUCGUCCGCACACAACAGGUAUACAGGGUGAUUGUUUUCACCGGCCAACGUUUCGGAUUUCGGCAAGUCUUGAACAAUUCCCGAGAUUGAGCGCGUUCGGUCGUGCAGAGGGUGCCGUUUAAAGUGUUCGAAAAUGGCGCGAAAAAAGACGUACAAUACAAUAAAAUAGUCUACAUUUUCCGGGGAAUUCGUGGGGGAAAAAAAAAACCCCCGGCAUAAUGUACUCGAAAUCUUCGUAUAUGUGCAGUGAUCGUGCACACAUACAAUACGGUUGUGGUCCAUGGCGAUAAACGAAUCACCCUGUAUAUGAUAUAUGGUAUAUAUACGUACAUUACCAUCGCUCGCAGUGGUGGGUACAUACAACAAAAUGUUAUACUACGUACAAUGUGUGUUUGGAACGAAUUUUACAGCCCGUAAUAAAGUACGAUUUGUCGGACCCGGCAUUGUGCGGCGGGCAACACGCGCGCAUUAUUUUGGUCUCCGACCGACCGACCCGGCCAGGUGAACGUGUACAAAAUAUAACAAUAAUAUUAAUAAUAAUACGUGUGCCUAUAUAAUGUCUGUAAUAUAUGACUACG